This 497-nucleotide ribosomal RNA is filed under the name uncultured bacterium. RNAcentral describes it as "partial 16S ribosomal RNA". It matches the Rfam family "Bacterial small subunit ribosomal RNA", at positions 28 to 507 of the family's 1533-position model. The record is from RNAcentral.
GAUGAACGCUGGCGGCGUGCCUAAUACAUGCAAGUCGAGCGAACAGACGAGGAGCUUGCUCCUCUCACGUUAGCCGCGGACGGGUGAGUAACACGUGUAUAACCUACCUAUAAGACUGGGAUAACUUCGGGAAACCGGCGCUUAUACCAGAUAAUCUAUUGAACCGCAUUGUUCAAUAGUGAGAGUCGGCUUUGCUGUCACUUCUCGCUGCAUCCGCGCCGCAUUGGCUGGUUGUUACGUUAACGGCUUAGCACGGCGAGGAUGCGUAGCCGACCUACCGGGGGGGUCGGCGACAUGGGAGCGGAACCACGGACAAGACUACUACGGGAGGCAGCAGUAGGGAAUCGGCCGCAAUGGGCGAAAGCCUGACGGAGCAAGGCCGCGUGAGUGAUGAAGGUGUUCGGAGCGUAAAACUCUCUUUUUAGGGAAGAACAAAUGUGUAAGGAGCUAUGCACGGCUUGACGGUAACUAAUCAGAAAGCAACGGCUAACUACGUG